GAAUUUUUUUGGGAUCUCUUUAUAAAGCGUUUAUUAUUUAUUUAUUAUGUUUUGUCGAGAGCUUUCAAAAAAUUCA
Drosophila melanogaster (fruit fly) is the source of this 76-nucleotide non-coding RNA. The record is from Ensembl. Lineage: Eukaryota; Metazoa; Arthropoda; Insecta; Diptera; Drosophilidae.